CCUACGGGUGGCAGCAGUGGGGAAUAUUGGACAAUGGGCGAAAGCCUGAUCCGGCCAUGCCGCGUGUGUGAAGAAGGCUUUCGGGUUGUAAAGCACUUUCAGUGGGGAAGAAAGCCUUGGGGCUAAUACCCUCGAGGAAGGACAUCACCCACAGAAGAAGCACCGGCUAACUCCGUGCCAGCAGCCGCGGUAAUACGGAGGGUGCGAGCGUUAAUCGGAAUUACUGGGCGUAAAGCGCGCGUAGGCGGUCUGAUAAGCCGGUUGUGAAAGCCCCGGGCUCAACCUGGGAACGGCAUCCGGAACUGUCAGGCUAGAGUGCAGGAGAGGAAGGUAGAAUUCCCGGUGUAGCGGUGAAAUGCGUAGAGAUCGGGAGGAAUACCAGUGGCGAAGGCGGCCUUCUGGACUGACACUGACGCUGAGGUGCGAAAGCGUGGGUAGCAAACAGGAUUAGAUACCCGAGUAGUC
This 465-nucleotide ribosomal RNA is filed under the name Vreelandella stevensii. Its description in RNAcentral is "partial 16S ribosomal RNA". It matches the Rfam family "Bacterial small subunit ribosomal RNA", at positions 338 to 795 of the family's 1533-position model. The record is from RNAcentral. Lineage: Bacteria; Pseudomonadati; Pseudomonadota; Gammaproteobacteria; Oceanospirillales; Halomonadaceae.